Neocloeon triangulifer is the source of this 1825-nucleotide RNA transcript. It is a transcript of the gene named inner centromere protein-like, with no coding region annotated. The transcript is spliced from 8 exons. The record is from RefSeq and is a predicted model, not a curated record. NCBI's taxonomy places the organism in Eukaryota, Metazoa, Arthropoda, Insecta, Ephemeroptera, Baetidae.
AAUGUUCUUUUUGUAGUGCUGCUCCAGCCAAGCUCCAGCAGUGCAUGUUGUACGCAAACGCGUUUAAUUCAAUAUUAUUAUCAAGUCGCCGGCCGGGUAGAUUUUUCAACGAAGAACUGCCAAAAUUUGGGCCUGCAAGCCUUGUUUUUGCAAUCUGGGACCGCUUCCUGUUUUCUCCCAGACUAAAAGAUGGUUAAAAACCACAAAGAGCUUGUCAAGGCCUGCGGGGAGUUACAAUUUGGAUAAUUUGAAAGUAAAGAUAGAUGAUGAAUUAAAAAGCUCCUUUCGAAAUAUGAGGAGAUAUUAAAAGAUGAAGCUCUGCAGUGGGCCAGAGAAAUAAAGGAGAAGCUGCAAGAAAAGCAGACAAGCCCUAUGCCACCAAGGACACCAACACUCAAGAGACCAACUCGGAAGAGGAAAAUUCCCACCGCUUCCGAAGUUGAGGAGAAGGAAAAUUCCAUUGCUGUGGGGCGGCAAGCUCGAGCUGCCUCGCAAGCUGCAGCUUCCAAGUUCCACAAGCAGCUGUAUGUGCCUGUAAAGCUGAGACGACCCAGCGAAAAGCCUGCCGAGGUGCCUCCAGCAAAGGAACGUAAAAGGGUCAGGAUUGCCAGUUCUUCAGCAGAAAGUGAUGAUGACGCUGUGUCAGUCGCCUCUACCACCAAAAGCACCAAAUUGAAACGUGCAGCUCGGAAAAACAAAAAAGAAGUCAGUGACGAUGAAUCAAGCGAAGAAGCUGAAAAACCACAGAAACUUGAAAAGCCAAAGAUGAAUACCAGGGGCCGCGCAAAAUUGGUAGCUCAGGAAAAGAAACUGAUGCCUGCCAAGAAAAUGAAGGUGGUUAAACCGGCUGAUUCAAGUGAUUCUGAGUUUGAAAAGCCGCCUGCAAAAGCCACUAGUAGCUCUGAGGCUUCAAACGAUGAACCAAAUUCUGAGCAUGUUGAGACUUCAAAAGACGAGCAACAUUCUGAGCAUGUUGAGUCUUCGAAUGAGGAAAAGAAUUCUGAGCAUGCUGAAACUACAAGGGAAGAAACGCAUUCUGAGCAAUCGCAGGAAGAACCUACCCCUCCAAACCAGAAUAUCAAGAAGAAUGACGCGCUGCUCCUAAGUCGGGUGGUUGCCAUCAAGGUUGAAAAAUUAUCAGAAACUUUCAUUAAGCGUCAGAUAGGAGAAGACGUUUCUACUGAAGAAGUGACUACAGAAGAGUCCGAGCCACCUGUGUGAGCUCUCCCGAACCUCCAGCAACUGAGACUCAAAGGAAGUCGCCCAGGACUAACAAAGUCGAGACAAAACUACCAAACAAAGCGUCUGAACUCCGUGCUUUAACACCACACAUUGCUGGAAAAGUGAAGGAGAUGGUGAUGGCAGUUGAGCAGUCGCUGAAGAAGGGUUAUCCGAAAGUCAACAUCCAGAAUCACCCUGAGCAUGCGGCCACCACUCCUCACUCACCUUCAAAGUGGUUGAAGGCCCCGGAGCUGAUGGACGCCAUCAGCUCCCAGGACAUUUCCCCAGACCCAUUCAGUGAGAGCGAGCACGCUUACUCGCCGACUGUUUUGCGGAAGAAACCCAUUCCCACCUGCAGCAAACCUACAACAUCCCAACAGCAGGGCUUGAGCACCAUCCAAAGGAGUACAGUGACGAGGCCUCAUAACGCCACUAGUACUCUUGGCUGGAGCAAAGUCGUAAUAAGCAAGUUCACUCUUGACACUGCCAAGGAGCAGGCCCAGUUGGCUGCGUUGAAGUUGAGAAGAAAAAGGAACUCGAGCGUCAGCUGAGGGAUGAGAAAAUAAACGAGGCUUAGAAGAAGAAAGAGGAAAUAUUGAAACUG